RNAcentral lists this transfer RNA (77 nucleotides) under Bacteroidetes bacterium GWA2_32_17. Its description in RNAcentral is "tRNA-Asn". It matches the Rfam family "tRNA". Rfam says of the family: Transfer RNA (tRNA) molecules are approximately 80 nucleotides in length. Their secondary structure includes four short double-helical elements and three loops (D, anti-codon, and T loops). The record is from RNAcentral. Lineage: Bacteria; Pseudomonadati; Bacteroidota. RNAcentral also lists the same sequence under 1 other name.
UCCUCAAUAGCUCAGUUGGUUAGAGCAUCUGACUGUUAAUCAGAGGGUCGCAGGUUCAAGUCCUGCUUGGGGAGCAA